UACGAAGGGGGCUAGCGUUGCUCGGAAUCACUGGGCGUAAAGCGCACGUAGGCGGACUCUUAAGUCGGGGGUGAAAGCCUGUGGCUCAACCCACAGAAUGGCCUUCGAUACUGGGACGCUUGAGUAUGGUAGAGGUUGGUGGAACUGCGAGUGUAGAGGUGAAAUUCGUAGAUAUUCGCAAGAACACCAGUGGCGAAGGCGGCUCACUGGCCCGGUACUGACGCUGAGGUGCGAAAGCGUGGGGAGCAAACAGG
This 254-nucleotide ribosomal RNA is filed under the name uncultured bacterium. RNAcentral's name for it is "partial 16S ribosomal RNA". It matches the Rfam family "Bacterial small subunit ribosomal RNA", at positions 524 to 776 of the family's 1533-position model. The record is from RNAcentral.